This 497-nucleotide ribosomal RNA is filed under the name uncultured bacterium. Its description in RNAcentral is "partial 16S ribosomal RNA". It matches the Rfam family "Bacterial small subunit ribosomal RNA", at positions 28 to 507 of the family's 1533-position model. The record is from RNAcentral.
GAUGAACGCUGGCGGCGUGCCUAAUACAUGCAAGUCGAGCGAACAGAUGAGGAGCUUGCUCCUCUGACGUUAGCGGCGGACGGGUGAGUAACACGUGGAUAACCUACCUAUAAGACUUGGAUAACUUCGGGAAACCGGAGCUAAUACCGGAUAAUAUAUUGAACCGCAUGGUUCAAUAGUGAAAGACGGUUUUGCUGUCACUUAUAGAUGGAUCCGCGCCGCAUUAGCUAGUUGGUAAGGUAACGGCUUACCAAGGCAACGAUGCGUAGCCGACCUGAGAGGGGGAUGGGCCACACUGGAACUGGGACACGGUACAGACUCCUACGGGAGGCAGAAGUAGGGAAUCGUCCGAAAUGGGCGAAAGCCUGAAGGAGCAACGCAGCGUGAGUGAUGAAGGUCUUCGGAGCGUAAAACUCUGUUAUUAGGGAAGAACAAAUGUGUAAGUAACUAUGCACGUCUUGACGGUACCUAAUCAGAAAGCCACGGCUAACUACGUG